UACGGAGGAUGCGAGCGUUAUCCGGAUUUAUUGGGUUUAAAGGGUGCGUAGGCGGAUUUUUAAGUCAGCGGUAAAAUGUCCGGGCUCAACCCGGGCCGGCCGUUGAAACUGGGGAUCUUGAGUGGGCGAGAAGUAUGCGGAAUGCGUGGUGUAGCGGUGAAAUGCAUAGAUAUCACGCAGAACUCCGAUUGCGAAGGCAGCAUACCGGCGCCCGACUGACGCUGAGGCUCGAAAGCGUGGGUAGCGAACAGG
RNAcentral lists this ribosomal RNA (252 nucleotides) under uncultured bacterium. RNAcentral's name for it is "partial 16S ribosomal RNA". It matches the Rfam family "Bacterial small subunit ribosomal RNA", at positions 524 to 776 of the family's 1533-position model. The record is from RNAcentral.